RNAcentral lists this ribosomal RNA (699 nucleotides) under uncultured bacterium. RNAcentral's name for it is "bacterial SSU rRNA". It matches the Rfam family "Bacterial small subunit ribosomal RNA", at positions 1 to 739 of the family's 1533-position model. The record is from RNAcentral.
UAGAGUUUGAUCCUGGCUCAGAACGAACGCUGGCGGCAUGCCUCAUACAUGCAAGUCGAACGAGAUCCUUCGGGGUCUAGUGGCGCACGGGUGAGUAGCGCGUGGGAACCUGCCCUGUUGUGGGGGAUAACCGAUGGAAACGUCGGCUAAUACCGCAUGCGCCCGGCGAGAGAUCGCUGGGGAAAGAUUUAUCGCAGCAGGAUGGGCCCGCGUCGGAUUGGCUAGUUGGUGGGGUAACGGCCUACCAAGGCGAUGAUCCGUAGCUGGUCUGAGAGGAUGAUCAGCCUCACUGGGACUGAGACACGGCCCAGACUCCUACGGGAGGCAGCAGUAGGGAAUAUUGGACAAUGGGCGCAAGCCUGAUCCAGCAAUGCCGCGUGAGUGAGGAAGGCCUUAGGGUUGUAAAGCUCUUUCGCACGCGGCGAUGAUGACGGUAGCGUGAGAAGAAGCCCCGGCUAACUUCGUGCCAGCAGCCGCGGUAAUACGAAGGGGGCGAGCGUUGUUCGGAAUUACUGGGCGUAAAGGGCGCGUAGGCGGCUAUCUUUGUCAGGCGUGAUAGCCCUGGGCUCAACCUGGGAGGUGCGCUUGGGACGGGGUGGCUAGAGAUCGGGAGAGGAGAGCGGAAUUCCCAGUGUAGAGGUGAAAUUCGUAGAUAUUGGGAAGAACACCCGGUGGCGAAGGCGGCUCUCUGGACCGAUA